GUUUGUGGUGUAAUAUGUGUGGCUAGGGGCUGUAGAGAGUGUGUGUAUAGGGGGCAUAGUGUUAUAGGGGAUGUAGCGAGUGUGUGCAUACGGGCUGUAGUGUGUGUGUGUAUAGGUGACGUAGUGUGUGUAGGGGUUGUAGAGAGGGUGUGUUUAGAGAAUGUUGUAUGUGUUUGCUGACAAGGAAUGUAGUGUGUGUGUAGGUGGUGCAGUGUGUGUGUAGGAGAUCUAGUGUGUAAAGGACCCAGAGUGUGUAUAGGAGAUUGUGUGUGUGUGUG
This is a non-coding RNA of Pelobates cultripes (western spadefoot toad), 278 nucleotides long. NCBI's taxonomy places the organism in Eukaryota, Metazoa, Chordata, Amphibia, Anura, Pelobatidae. The record is from the annotation of a GenBank genome assembly.